This 393-nucleotide ribosomal RNA is filed under the name uncultured bacterium. RNAcentral's name for it is "bacterial SSU rRNA". It matches the Rfam family "Bacterial small subunit ribosomal RNA", at positions 29 to 410 of the family's 1533-position model. The record is from RNAcentral.
AUUGAACGCUGGCGGCAUGCUUUACACAUGCAAGUCGAACGGCAGCACGGGUGCUUGCACCUGGUGGCGAGUGGCGAACGGGUGAGUAAUGCAUCGGAACGUGCCCAUGAGUGGGGGAUAGCCCGGCGAAAGCCGGAUUAAUACCGCAUACGCCCUUAGGGGGAAAGGACGGGGGAGUCUUCGGACCUCGCGCUAUUGGAGCGGCCGAUGUCGGAUUAGCUAGUAGGUGAGGUAAAGGCUCACCUAGGCGACGAUCCGUAGCUGGUCUGAGAGGAUGAUCAGCCACACUGGGACUGAGACACGGCCCAGACUCCUACGGGAGGCAGCAGUGGGGAAUUUUGGUACGAAUAGGCGGCAAGACCUCGAUCCACGACCAUGCCGCCGUGAGUGAAG